RNAcentral lists this ribosomal RNA (356 nucleotides) under uncultured fungus. Its description in RNAcentral is "eukaryotic LSU rRNA". The stretch from base 1 to 125 matches the Rfam family "5.8S ribosomal RNA", at positions 30 to 154 of the family's 154-position model. The record is from RNAcentral. Lineage: Eukaryota; Fungi.
GCAUCGAUGAAGAACGCAGCGAAAUGCGAUAAGUAAUGUGAAUUGCAGAAUUCAGUGAAUCAUCGAGUCUUUGAACGCACAUUGCGCCCGCCAGAAUUCUGGCGGGCAUGCCUGUUCGAGCGUCAUUUCAACCCUCGAGCUCCCCUUUCGGGGGGAGCCCGGCGUUGGGGACCCGGCGCUAACAACGCCGGCCCCGAAAUGGAGUGGCGGCCCGUCCGCGGCGACCUCUGCGUAGUAACAACCACUCGCACCGGGACCCGGGCGCGGCCACGCCGUAAAACACCCCACCUUCCGAAUGUUGACCUCGAAUCAGGUAGGAAUACCCGCUGAACUUAAGCAUAUCAAUAAGCGGAGGA